Molecule: non-coding RNA, 96 nt
Organism: Drosophila melanogaster (fruit fly)
Lineage: Eukaryota; Metazoa; Arthropoda; Insecta; Diptera; Drosophilidae
Source: Rfam
CCCGCAGGCAACCUCAUCAUCAAGCCGUUUUCAUUUAAUUUUCAUGCACAUUUAAUGGCGUCUGUUAUUGGCUUUUAACGAGAUUUUCACUCCACC